Molecule: ribosomal RNA, 492 nt
Filed under: uncultured bacterium
Lineage: Bacteria
Description: partial 16S ribosomal RNA
Rfam family: Bacterial small subunit ribosomal RNA
Source: RNAcentral
AGUGAACGCUGGCGGUAGGCCUAACACAUGCAAGUCGAACGGCAGCACAGUAAGAGCUUGCUCUUACGGGUGGCGAGUGGCUGACGGGUGAGGAAUACAUCGGAAUCUACUUUUUCGUGGGGGAUAACGUAGGGAAACUUACGCUAAUACCGCAUACGACCUACGGGUGAAAGCAGGGGAUCUUCGGACCUUGCGCGAUUGAAUGAGCCGAUGUCGGAUUAGCUAGUUGGCGGGGUAAAGGCCCACCAAGGCGACGAUCCGUAGCUGGUCUGAGAGGAUGAUCAGCCACACUGGAACUGAGACACGGUCCAGACUCCUACGGGAGGCAGCAGUGGGGAAUAUUGGACAAUGGGCGCAAGCCUGAUCCAGCCAUACCGCGUGGGUGAAGAAGGCCUUCGGGUUGUAAAGCCCUUUUGUUGGGAAAGAAAAGCAGCAGGUUAAUACCCCGCUGUCCUGACGGUACCCAAAGAAUAAGCACCGGCUAACUUCGUG